This 374-nucleotide ribosomal RNA is filed under the name uncultured bacterium. RNAcentral describes it as "partial 16S ribosomal RNA". It matches the Rfam family "Bacterial small subunit ribosomal RNA", at positions 1125 to 1498 of the family's 1533-position model. The record is from RNAcentral.
GUUAUGCUGGGCACUUUUGAGAAAACUGCCGGUGACAAGCCGGAGGAAGGUGGGGAUGACGUCAAGUCCUCAUGGCCCUUACGGGCUGGGCUACACACGUGCUACAAUGGCGGUGACAGUGGGAUGCGAAGGGGCGACCCGGAGCCGAUCCCAAAAAGCCGUCCCAGUUCGGAUUGCACUCUGCAACUCGAGUGCAUGAAGGUGGAAUCUCUAGUAAUCGCGGAUCAGCAUGCCNCGGUGAAUACGUUNCCNGUCCUNGUACACACCGCCCGUCACNCCAUGGGAGUUGGUUCUACCCGAAGAUGGUGCACUAACCGCAAGGANNCAGCNANNNANNGUAGGAUCAAUNACUNNGNCGAAGUCGUAACAAGGUA